Gracilinanus agilis (Agile Gracile Mouse Opossum) is the source of this 103-nucleotide small nuclear RNA. The record is from RefSeq and is a predicted model, not a curated record. Lineage: Eukaryota; Metazoa; Chordata; Mammalia; Didelphimorphia; Didelphidae.
UUGCUUUGGCAGCACAUAUACUAAAAUUGGAACGAUACAGAGAAGAUUAGCAUAGCCCCUGUGCAAGGAUGACAUGCGAAUUUAUGAAGCGUUCCAUAGUUUU